ACAAGAGAAGGCUAGAAAGACCGCUUAGACGCUAGUGAGACAGACCCUAGAUGCCGGGCCAGCCUUGUACCGAGGAUGUCUGCAGUGACAACAUGUCAGUGAGGCCCAUGGGGCUUGGCUGGGGUCAAUGGAAGGAAGUGUCGGCUACAAGCCAGGUGGGAUGGGUCUGAGAGAGGCUGGGGAGACUUCGACAUCAAAAGCUCAUGUUGUACAGGGGCCACAUUCUGUGCCUUAGCAUCUUUUCAUCAAAUGCAGUCGCUUAACCUCAACCAGUGAGUAGACCCCACCCAACACCCUCUGUUUCUAAAAGUACCAAAAUUUGGACUUCUGAUAAACCCGAAUUUUUUGCAUACGGGGGUUUACCACAAAGUCCUUCACUGUGUUUUGAAAAGGCCAGUUUGGUUCUGAGCAAAGACCAGUGGUCAGCUUUCUUUGGUCCCCUCCCCCCAUGAUCCACCUCAAGCCUGCUUCUCCCACCUCCUUCCUGGGAAGGCAGAGGAUUCAGAGGCCCACAACGGCUGGGGCCUGUGGUGGGAACACACAGGGGCUAGGGAAAGCAAAUCAAGAUCUGAACCUGAUCCCCAAACCCCAGGGCACAUCUGGUCCACCUCUAAUGACAACUGGACUGGCGCCAUGGGGCACGCAAGCACUCACGCAGUUGGCCGGUGAGCGAUCUGGUACCAGAGCCCGUUUAGCCAAAGCCUGAGCACUGGCCAGUCCUUCCUAAUUUCCAGUCCAGAGGAAUUCUGGACCAAUUCCUAACAAUAGUAGCUACUGGCACACGUCACGAGAGGAAACGCUCCACGUCUAUCUCGCACUUUGUGGAGCUGGAAGAGGAGCGACUUACUUGAGGGGGUACAUCCUCAGGGCCACGCCCAUUCCAGGGCAGUAGGAAAGGAAGGCAGCAAGGGCCGUCUCUUCAAAGAGGCCGAAUAUUAAGAUCUUGUUCCUAAAGAAUCAAGGGGAGAGAAAGCUUAAGGACACAAACAGAAGUUUAUCUUCCAAAGCCAUCCCUGCGUCAAAGGGCAGAUCGAGGUCUCUGUGUAGGAGCUAUACUCAGGAACUUGAGGGCAGAUGAAAAAAAAAAAAAGAAAAUCACAAUUUGCUUCCUAAAUCUCCAAAAGCAAGAUUCCAGAAACUGCCAUGUGUCAGGUGCUGGGGUUUUGCACAGAGUUGAGAAAUCCCCAGACCCCUUGGGUGAGGGCCCUGAGCGCUCCCUACUCACUUCAUCCCCUGCUGGAAGACGGAGUUCCUCCGGGUCUUACAGAUGACCAGGUCAGCCCACUGCACCACCACGAUGCUGACGAAGAAGGCCGUGUGGCAAGUGAACUCCACGAUUUUCCUCUGUUCGUACGUCUGGGACACGGAAGGCAGCCAGGGCCCUUCGCUUCUCCCCUGGCAUCUGGUCUUGCCACACUGCCCCGAAUUCCCCAGGGCACGUUUCCUCCUAUGCUCUGGACCUCCUUAAAAUGAGGUCUCCGAGACCACCUGUUAGCUCCACCGGUGGAGCAGAGAUCAAGCCCGGUGCGGGGUCACCAUGUGGUGACCAGCCAGCCAAACUUUCAAGCUCAUGCAACUUCGUCAAAGCCUAACUCUCUAUCCAAAUCCGUGGCCAGUAUUACGUACCCCCGGGAACAACUGCCUCUGAAUGACCUGUGCCUGGCGAGCUGAGGGACCGCUGAGCCCAGGCUGAAGAACUACGGUUUCCACUAAGAAGUAACUGGGCAGACAGGAGAAGAUUUCUUCUCACUCAAGAGGAUUUUGUACAAAAAGCUCCCUGAGUCUCACACGGUGUCCUGGCUCUUGCUAGAUCUGAAGUCCCCCAAAGCAAGCCCCUAGGCCGCCCCCACCACUACAGACGCUCCCUGCUCAGUGCCGGUGUCCGGGGACAGUGGCUCACCGAUCUGCCCGUAGGCCAUGCUGAUCAGCCGCUCGUUCACAAGCUUGUCCGUCUUGGGGUUUCUGGGCUGUCUCUUCAUGAUGUCGCUCUCAGCUUGCUCGUAAGCAAGGGAGAUGGCAGGAACCUGGGCGGGGGAGGGAGGGAGAAGUAUAAACGUCGUCAGAUACCAGGAAGCUGACUUCGUGAACCUUCCUUGCCCUCUCCCUUUUAAAACCGUGAGAUGUACCAUGAGAUGUUAUUACCA
This is a long non-coding RNA of Acinonyx jubatus (cheetah), 2144 nucleotides long. RefSeq lists it as uncharacterized. Lineage: Eukaryota; Metazoa; Chordata; Mammalia; Carnivora; Felidae. The record is from RefSeq and is a predicted model, not a curated record. The transcript is spliced from 2 exons.